This 647-nucleotide long non-coding RNA is filed under the name Apteryx owenii (little spotted kiwi). RNAcentral's name for it is "lncRNA (ENSAOWG00000017524.1)". The record is from RNAcentral. Lineage: Eukaryota; Metazoa; Chordata; Aves; Apterygiformes; Apterygidae.
GGGGUGCCGGGGCGGGCGGGGGCCUAUUGUUCCGGCCUAUUGUUCUGGUCUAUUGUUCCAGCCUAUUGUUCCGGCCUAUUGUUCUGCUGCGGCUGGUGGGGAAGUGCCGCGUGGCCUGGCACGAAACCUCGGCUCGGCUCGGCUCCGUGCGGCCGGCUCCCACCUCCAGGAGCCGCCUCGGGCUUCCUGCCCCCGGAGCAGCUGGUGCCCCCGGAGCUGCUCCCUCCGGCGCCGCGGGAAUCGGGCUGCGGCCGGCUGCCCCGCGCAGCGUGUGUGGCGGGGACACGUGGCGGGGACGUCCCGUGGGGACGCAGCCUCCCUCGCCGUCUCCCGGAGGCGUCAACUGCCCGGGUGCUCGGAGACCUCCUAUUUUGCAUAUAUUGGCUUGUUUUGGUGUUUUCGGGGAGGCCGUGGGGCUGGGGGGGCGCCGUGGGGCCAGCGUGCACACGAAACACGGACAAGAGGCCACCGCGAGGGCCGCGCCGGCACCGGGCCUGGGGGUUUGGUCUCCGCUUCUUGCUUCCCUGCCGGCCGCUGCGGUGCCGGGCUGCUGGGCGGCCGGAGCUGGGAGCAAGUGCAGCCCUCUGUCCUUAGGUGAGUGCAACGCUUAAUAACCUUAAAAAAUAAUAAUGAUACAUUAAAAAAAA